RNAcentral lists this long non-coding RNA (1002 nucleotides) under Homo sapiens (human). Its description in RNAcentral is "HSALNT0368575". The record is from RNAcentral. Lineage: Eukaryota; Metazoa; Chordata; Mammalia; Primates; Hominidae.
AGACACAACCCCAGCCUGGGUUCUUUGAGUCUGCUUCCAUUUUCACUUCUUGGCACUGCCUGUUCAACAUGCCCGAGUGCUGUGAACGUUAUGAGAGGGCCUUGUUGGGAACACGUGCUCCUGGGAAUCAGCCCUUCCCUCUGUCCUGUUCCCACUCCUCCCCGACGAUGCUCCUGCUCAGAACCCACUCCUCACCUCAGUGAAGCAACGCAGCGGGCACCCUGUGGACAAAGCUGGAUAUUGGCUCUGAAUAAAAGCGAAUCAUGGGGAAAAUCAGUGUCUCAGUAAAAUGGGGUUUUCUUAGUAGAGACCAGACUGUGAAGGACCUUGCUUCAUUCCAUCUUUGAGGAGGAUGAUGAUUCAGGGACAUUGGCCCAAGAUCAAAGUGGUAUUUUUAGGUUGUAUUUACUUAGCUAUUUGCCGUCUACCUCCUUAUUUCCAGGUAGCAACUUCCUUCUUAUAUCUGAGAUGUUUAAGAGAUGAUGAAACCAGCUUGCACACACUUCUCAAAGUGUGUUUGUUCGCAUCCAUUAUUUCACUGGGGACCGGCUAUUAUCCUCUCCAUUUUCUUUAUAAGGAUAUUGAAAGAGAGAUUAAAUAACUUGUUCAAGGCCGCAUAGCUAGUUAACAGCUGAACUAGGCUUAAAACCAACGUCUGAAGGCUCCUAUUCCAGUGGCAGCUGCUGUGUGCUUCUUCUGUUUUCCAUCAGUUUGGAAGGGAGCAUAAAGUCUACAGCCACAUGGGUGGGGUCAGCAGAAAGAUUGACCACCAAGCCUGAGGCAGGUGAGGCUGAUCUCCUGGGCACAGCCUCUCUGCACAGGAGUUCACAGAAGUGAUAUGAUCCAAAGUUGCUGAGGGAAAAGCCCUUAUUUGUGGAAUUAACGGCAGGUCUCUCUUGAGGUCAGAAUGAAUGUUAUUGACAUUAUUGUUUGUAUUGUGGUAAGGUAUACAUAAUGGAAAAUGUACCAUUUUGGCUGGACAUGGUGGCUCACGCCUGUAAU